CCUACGGGCGGCAGCAGUGGGGAAUAUUGCACAAUGGGGGAAACCCUGAUGCAGCGACGCCGCGUGAGUGAGGAAGUAUUUCGGUAUGUAAAGCUCUAUCAGCAGGGAAGAAAAUGACGGUACCUGACUAAGAAGCCCCGGCUAACUACGUGCCAGCAGCCGCGGUAAUACGUAGGGGGCAAGCGUUAUCCGGAUUUACUGGGUGUAAAGGGAGCGUAGACGGCAAAGCAAGUCAGAAGUGAAAACCCAGGGCUCAACCUUGGGACUGCUUUUGAAACUGAGUGGCUAGAGUGCUGGAGAGGUAAGCGGAAUUCCUAGUGUAGCGGUGAAAUGCGUAGAUAUUAGGAGGAACACCAGUGGCGAAGGCGGCUUACUGGACAGUAACUGACGUUGAGGCUCGAAAGCGUGGGGAGCAAACAGGAUUAGAUACCCGAGUAGUC
RNAcentral lists this ribosomal RNA (440 nucleotides) under uncultured bacterium. RNAcentral's name for it is "partial 16S ribosomal RNA". It matches the Rfam family "Bacterial small subunit ribosomal RNA", at positions 338 to 795 of the family's 1533-position model. The record is from RNAcentral.